GAGUUUGAUCAUGGCUCAGGAUGAACGCUGGCGGCGUGCCUAAUACAUGCAAGUCGAGCGAACAGACGGGGAGCUUGCUCCCCUGACGUUAGCGGCGGACGGGUGAGUAACACGUGGGUAACCUACCUAUAAGACUGGGAAUAACUCCGGGAAACCGGGGCUAAUGCCGGAUAACAUGUUGGACCGCAUGGUCCUACAGUGAAAGACGGUCUUGCUGUCACUUAUAGGUGGACCCGCGCCGUAUUAGCUAGUUGGUAAGGUAACGGCUUACCAAGGCAACGAUACGUAGCCGACCUGAGAGGGUGAUCGGCCACACUGGAACUGAGACACGGUCCAGACUCCUACGGGAGGCAGCAGUAGGGAAUCUUCCGCAAUGGGCGAAAGCCUGACGGAGCAACGCCGCGUGAGUGAUGAAGGCCUU
This 421-nucleotide ribosomal RNA is filed under the name uncultured microorganism. Its description in RNAcentral is "bacterial SSU rRNA". It matches the Rfam family "Bacterial small subunit ribosomal RNA", at positions 9 to 418 of the family's 1533-position model. The record is from RNAcentral.